This 29-nucleotide small RNA is filed under the name Bombyx mori (domestic silkworm). Its description in RNAcentral is "ovarian small RNA-4384". Lineage: Eukaryota; Metazoa; Arthropoda; Insecta; Lepidoptera; Bombycidae. The record is from RNAcentral.
ACCACGAUGAUGUCGGCCAUUACGGCUUU